Molecule: ribosomal RNA, 463 nt
Filed under: uncultured Comamonas sp.
Lineage: Bacteria; Pseudomonadati; Pseudomonadota; Betaproteobacteria; Burkholderiales; Comamonadaceae
Description: bacterial SSU rRNA
Rfam family: Bacterial small subunit ribosomal RNA
Source: RNAcentral
GACGGGACCCGCACAAGCGGUGGAUGAUGUGGUUUAAUUCGAUGCAACGCGAAAACCUUACCACCUUUGACAUGUACGGAAUCCUUUAGAGAUAGAGGAGUGCUCGAAAGAGAGCCGUAACACAGGUGCUGCAUGGCUGUCGUCAGCUCGUGUCGUGAGAUGUUGGGUUAAGUCCCGCAACGAGCGCAACCCUUGUCAUUAGUUGCUACGAAAGGGCACUCUAAUGAGACUGCCGGUGACAAACCGGAGGAAGGUGGGGAUGACGUCAAGUCCUCAUGGCCCUUAUAGGUGGGGCUACACACGUCAUACAAUGGCUGGUACAAAGGGUUGCCAACCCGCGAGGGGGAGCCAAUCCCAUAAAGCCAGUCGUAGUCCGGAUCGCAGUCUGCAACUCGACUGCGUGAAGUCGGAAUCGCUAGUAAUCGUGGAUCAGCAUGUCACGGUGAAUACGUUCCCGGGUCUU